This 492-nucleotide ribosomal RNA is filed under the name uncultured bacterium. RNAcentral describes it as "partial 16S ribosomal RNA". It matches the Rfam family "Bacterial small subunit ribosomal RNA", at positions 29 to 507 of the family's 1533-position model. The record is from RNAcentral.
AGUGAACGCUGGCGGUAGGCCUAACACAUGCAAGUCGAACGGCAGCACAGUAAGAGCUUGCUCUUACGGGUGGCGAGUGGCGGACGGGUGAGGAAUACAUCGGAAUCUACUUUUUCUUGGGGGAUAUCGUAGGGAAACUUACGCUAAUACCGAAUACGACCUACGGGUGAAAGCAGGGGAUCUUCGGACCUUGCGCGAUUGAAUGAGCCGAUGUCGGAUUAGCUAGUUGGCGGGGUAAAGGCCCACCAAGGCGACGAUCCGUAGCUGGUCUGAGAGGAUGAUCAGCCACACUGGAACUGAGACACGGUCCAGACUCCUACGGGAGGCAGCAGUGGGGAAUAUUGGACAAUGGGCGCAAGCCUGAUCCAGCCAUACCGCGUGGGUGAAGAAGGUCUUCGGGUUGUAAAGCCCUUUUGUUGGGAAAGAAAAGCAGCAGGUGAAUACCCCGAUGUUCUGACGGUACCCAAAGAAUAAGCACCGGCUAACUUCGUG